RNA transcript from Sander lucioperca (pikeperch), 1462 nucleotides. It is a transcript of the gene named granzyme B(G,H)-like, with no coding region annotated. The transcript is spliced from 6 exons. The record is from RefSeq and is a predicted model, not a curated record. NCBI's taxonomy places the organism in Eukaryota, Metazoa, Chordata, Actinopteri, Perciformes, Percidae.
UUUGCAUAUGCAGACUACCCACCCUAACACAAGGAAGCAUUUAAAGACUGACGCUGUCAGUGAUGUGAGCCACUGCUUUUCAGGAGCUGAGCUGGACUGUGAUCUCACCAUGUCUAUCCACUGUGAACUGCUAAUACUGAUACUUGCUCUGACUCUUGAUGGUCAAGUUCAUACAGGGGAAAUCAUUGGAGGUAAGGAGGCUGUGCCACAUAGCAGACCCUACAUGGUGCUUUUGGAGCGGCACAUGCAGGAUGGUAAAACAAUACACUGCGGUGGCUUCCUUCUGAAUGAGGAUUUUGUGAUGACUGCAGCCCACUGCCAAGCCAGUUCCUACACAGUCUUACUAGGAGUUCACAAUAUCCAUAAGAGUAAUGGAGUACAGCGUAUAUCUGUGGAGCAAGCAUUUCCACGUAAAGACUACAAUGAAACUGAUUUCAACAAUGACAUAAUGCUUCUUAAGUUGAGCUCCAAGGCAAAAUUUAGCGAAAAUGUGAGACCCAUUGCUCUGCCAGGCCAAGAUGUUGGCUCUCUGCCAAAAUCAUGUAUAACGUCCGGCUGGGGAAAAACAGACAAGAAUCACAAUUAUAUGUCUGUUGUACUCAUGGAAGUCAAUGUAACACUGAUUGAAAGUAAGCAGUGUCCUACUAACAACACGUACUGCUCUGAGGGAGUAACUGGACCUGAUAAGGGAGAUUCUGGAGGUCCACUGGUCUGUGAAGAUGGGAAGGCGUACGGUGUGGUAUCCCACAUCUUCCAACCACACUCAGGUGGCCCGGAAAUCAAAUGUUUCGCUAAGAUUCCUGACUACAGAAGCUGGAUUGAAUUGACCUUGACAAAUGCAUGAAAAAGCUUUGAAAUGAUCACAUCACAAGAUUUGAAUUUACUGUUUGUAUAACACUGGAGAGCUGAUAAUUGAGAUGCUAAUAUCACAACUUAUUCCAAAGCUAUGAGACUGUCAGACCAAAGACUGGACUUGCUUACUUUACACAGAUUUAUAUAAAAUGUGCUUCAUUUUGACAUUACCAAAUGAUACAAAAUAACUUCCUGUUUGAGAAACUGAGUCAAAAGAGUGAAAAUAUAUGAAUGUGAUUCGGUUCAUUUAGGUGACAUUGUUUGGCUUUUUUUCAUCAUACAGCUGUUUUUUCCUGCUGCAGGGGGCUUUAACGUGACAUUUUAUUUGAAUAAACCUUAAAUUAAUCCAAGCAAAUUUGAUCCAAGCACAUGCAGGUUAUUUUAACAAUCAUGACACACAUUAAUUAGGCUUAUAAUGGACUCCAUACUGCUUAAUAAAUGUAAUAUCAUAGACACUCUAUGUCAUCCUGCUCAUAAAUACAACAGUAUCUGCAUUAUCUACAUUACUGCCAUGUGUAUCUUCUUUUUGACUUGAUUAAAUGAGAACACAGGAUCCUUUAAGUUUGUUUUGUACCAUCUUUUUGAACAAUAAACUGUUGUUCUCUCAGUA